RNAcentral lists this ribosomal RNA (542 nucleotides) under uncultured bacterium. RNAcentral describes it as "bacterial SSU rRNA". It matches the Rfam family "Bacterial small subunit ribosomal RNA", at positions 777 to 1320 of the family's 1533-position model. The record is from RNAcentral.
AAUAGAUACCCGGGUAGUCCACCCCGUAAACGUUGGGAACUAGUUGUGGGGUCCUUUCCACGGAUUCCGUGACGCAGCUAACGCAUUAAGUUCCCCGCCUGGGGAGUACGGCCGCAAGGCUAAAACUCAAAGGAAUUGACGGGGACCCGCACAAGCGGCGGAGCAUGCGGAUUAAUUCGAUGCAACGCGAAGAACCUUACCAAGGCUUGACAUACACCGGAAACGGCCAGAGAUGGUCGCCCCGCAAGGUCGGUGUACAGGUGGUGCAUGGUUGUCGUCAGCUCGUGUCGUGAGAUGUUGGGUUAAGUCCCGCAACGAGCGCAACCCUCGUUCUAUGUUGCCAGCACGUCAUGGUGGGAACUCAUGGGAUACUGCCGGGGUCAACUCGGAGGAAGGUGGGGAUGACGUCAAAUCAUCAUGCCCCUUAUGUCUUGGGCUUCACGCAUGCUACAAUGGCCGGUACAAAGGGCUGCAAUACCGUGAGGUGGAGCGAAUCCCAAAAAGCCGGUCCAGUUCGGAUUGAGGUCUGCAACUCGACCUCA